RNAcentral lists this unclassified non-coding RNA (82 nucleotides) under Chryseobacterium polytrichastri. RNAcentral's name for it is "Flavo-1 RNA". The record is from RNAcentral. Lineage: Bacteria; Pseudomonadati; Bacteroidota; Flavobacteriia; Flavobacteriales; Weeksellaceae.
CACUAGCCCCGAUUGCAGCAAUUGUUUGAGCUCAUUUUUCUUUGCAAAAGAAAAAUAGCGAGUGCGGAAAGCGGGAAAUAGC